CCUACGGGUGGCAGCAGUGGGGGAUAUUGCACAAUGGGGGCAACCCUGAUGCAGCGACGCCGCGUGGGUGAAGAAGCGCCUCGGCGCGUAAAGCCCUGUCAGCAGGGAAGAAAAUGACGGUACCUGAAGAAGAAGCACCGGCUAACUACGUGCCAGCAGCCGCGGUAAUACGUAGGGGGCAAGCGUUAUCCGGAUUUACUGGGUGUAAAGGGGGCGCAGGCGGCGAUGCAAGCCAGGAGUGAAAGCCCGGGGCCCAACCCCGGGACUGCUCUUGGAACUGCGUGGCUAGAGUGCAGGAGGGGCAAGCGGAAUUCCAGGUGUAGCGGUGAAAUGCGUAGAUAUAAGGAGGAACACCAGUGGCGAAGGCGACCUGCUGGUCUGCAACUGACGUUGAGGCGCGAAAGCGUGGGGAGCAAACAGGAUUAGAUACCCGUGUAGUC
This 440-nucleotide ribosomal RNA is filed under the name uncultured bacterium. RNAcentral's name for it is "partial 16S ribosomal RNA". It matches the Rfam family "Bacterial small subunit ribosomal RNA", at positions 338 to 795 of the family's 1533-position model. The record is from RNAcentral.